GAGUUUGAUCGUGGCUCAGGAUGAACGCUGGCGGCGUGCCUAACACAUGCAAGUCGAGCGAAGCACUUCAUUAGAACUCUUCGGAGGGACGAGGAAGUGACUGAGCGGCGGACGGGUGAGUAACGCGUGGGGCAACCUGCCUUACACAGGGGGAUAACAGUUAGAAAUGACUGCUAAUACCGCAUAAGACCACAUUGCCGCAUGGCAGGGUGGUAAAAACUCCGGUGGUGUAAGAUGGGCCCGCGUCUGAUUAGGUAGUUGGCAGGGUAGAGGCCUACCAAGCCUACGAUCAGUAGCCGGCCUGAGAGGGUGGACGGCCACAUUGGGACUGAGACACGGCCCAAACUCCUACGGGAGGCAGCAGUGGGGAAUAUUGCACAAUGGGGGAAACCCUGAUGCAGCGACGCCGCGUGAGUGAGGAAGUAUUCGGUAUGUAAAGCUCUAUCAGCAGGGAAGAAAAUGACGGUACCUGACUAAGAAGCCCGGCUAACUACGUGCCAGCCGCCGCAGU
RNAcentral lists this ribosomal RNA (511 nucleotides) under uncultured microorganism. RNAcentral describes it as "bacterial SSU rRNA". It matches the Rfam family "Bacterial small subunit ribosomal RNA", at positions 9 to 521 of the family's 1533-position model. The record is from RNAcentral.